Molecule: ribosomal RNA, 243 nt
Filed under: uncultured Actinomycetales bacterium
Lineage: Bacteria; Bacillati; Actinomycetota; Actinomycetes; Actinomycetales
Description: partial 16S ribosomal RNA
Rfam family: Bacterial small subunit ribosomal RNA
Source: RNAcentral
UACUCGAGUGGCGAACGGGUGAGUAACACGUGGGUGAUCUGCCCUGCACUUCGGGAUAAGCUUGGGAAACUGGGUCUAAUACCGGAUAGGAACCAUCUUUAGUGCGGUGGUUGGAAAGUUUUUUCGGUGUAGGAUGAGCUCGCGGCCUAUCAGCUUGUUGGUGGGGUAAUGGCCUACCAAGGCGGCGACGGGUAGCCGGCCUGAGAGGGUGUACGGCCACAUUGGGACUGAGAUACGGCCCAG